Molecule: ribosomal RNA, 730 nt
Filed under: uncultured bacterium
Lineage: Bacteria
Description: bacterial SSU rRNA
Rfam family: Bacterial small subunit ribosomal RNA
Source: RNAcentral
GUGAACGCUGGCGGCAUGCCUAACACAUGCAAGUCGAACGGCAGCACAGCAGUAGCAAUACUGUGGGUGGCGAGUGGCGGACGGGUGAGGAAUACAUCGGAAUCUGCCCGGUUGUGGGGGAUAACGUAGGGAAACUUACGCUAAUACCGCAUACGAUCGAGAGAUGAAAGCGGGGGACCGUAAGGCCUCGCGCAGUCGGAUGAGCCGAUGUCGGAUUAGCUAGUUGGCGGGGUAAAGGCCCACCAAGGCGACGAUCCGUAGCUGGUCUGAGAGGAUGAUCAGCCACACUGGGACUGAGACACGGCCCAGACUCCUACGGGAGGCAGCAGUGGGGAAUAUUGGACAAUGGGGGCAACCCUGAUCCAGCAAUGCCGCGUGUGUGAAGAAGGCCUUCGGGUUGUAAAGCACUUUUAUCUGGAACGAAACACGCAGGGUGAAUAUCCCUGCGGACUGACGGUACCAGAGGAAUAAGCACCGGCUAACUUCGUGCCAGCAGCCGCGGUAAUACGAAGGGUGCAAGCGUUACUCGGAAUUACUGGGCGUAAAGCGUGCGUAGGUGGUUUCUUAAGUCUGCUGUGAAAGCCCCGGGCUCAACCUGGGAAUUGCAGUGGAUACUGGGGAGCUAGAGUGCGGUAGAGGGUAGUGGAAUUCCCGGUGUAGCGGUGAAAUGCGUAGAGAUCGGGAGGAACACCAGUGGCGANNNCGGCUACCUGGACCAGCACUGACACUG